UAGCCUUAAACCAGUCAACAAGGAGAUAAUUUACCAUUACCUAUAUUUAGAUUACAUCCCUUGAACUGUAACAACCGCAUUUUCUGUCAUAAAUAAAAGAUGACGAUUCUGAUGAACAGGUGUUAUGUACCUUGAGUUAUAUUGUAAUUGCAAUGGCUGAAGUUUUGCUGCAAGAUAAAUAAGUGUUGAUUGGCAAUGCAGGAAGUAUUCCGAUUAAAGCAACACCAAAAAUGGUAGGACGGAAAUUUAGAGGAAAUGGAAGAAUUUACACAAUUUUGUCAAAAUAUGGGAUCAUCAUCAGCAGCAGCAGUAGCAGUGGCAGCAACAGCAUCAUUUCAACAUCUAUUUUUCCAUGCAUAGGUUGAAAAAAGUUUACACAGGCAGAUUUUCUAAUGCCAGAUGAGAUUCCAGGAGCCAACUCUUACUUGUUUCCAAGUAAGAUAUUUUUUCAUCAAUUAUUGUGCUUUUGCACAAUAUUGGAAAUGAAUAAAAUUGUUCAUAUGACAGUGACACUUGUUUUCACUUAUACAUGAUGUGAAGACAGGAACAUACACAUGCAUAUACAUGCAUACAUACAUACAUACAAAUCUGCACAUACAUACAUACAUACCUACCUACAUAUAUACAAACAAAAAUACCCAGUUGUUGAUGUUAUUCCAAUGAAGGAAUCUUGGAUCAAGGUUAGAAACCAGUUCUUACUCUAUUGGCAAGAAAUAUUGAAAUAAACUGAAUAAUGACAUACAUACAUACAUUAGAAAUUAACCGACUUGCACAUUUCAAAUAUAAUCUGUAAGUGGAAGAGAAAAGUUAUACAAGACAUUUCUGAAGUUUAAAAUGUAACAUAGCUUUUCAUCAAAGAAUGAAUUUAAAUACUUAAAAGCGAAAAAGAACGUUCAUACAUACAUAUCUAUGUAUACAUUUUAUGAAAUAUGAAGUAGACAUGGUGCUAAAGUAUAUACAUAUAUGUGAUGUGAUGUGUGUGUGUGUGUGUGCAUGUGCAUAUGUGUGUGUGUAUGUAUAUGUAUGCACACACUUCUUAAAUAUAUAUCCAUGACUGUGCUUCCAGUAUAUCCAUAUACGUAUAGAUGUAUGUACCAUCAUCAUCA
This is a long non-coding RNA of Octopus bimaculoides (California two-spot octopus), 1106 nucleotides long. The record is from RefSeq and is a predicted model, not a curated record. NCBI's taxonomy places the organism in Eukaryota, Metazoa, Mollusca, Cephalopoda, Octopoda, Octopodidae.